Molecule: small nucleolar RNA, 77 nt
Organism: Oryzias javanicus (javanese ricefish)
Lineage: Eukaryota; Metazoa; Chordata; Actinopteri; Beloniformes; Adrianichthyidae
Source: Ensembl
GCAUGAAUGAUGACUUAACAUUCUUUUGUCGGAUACCCCUUCACUCUUCAAUGAGUGAUAUCCUCUUUCUGACAUGC